RNAcentral lists this ribosomal RNA (614 nucleotides) under uncultured bacterium. RNAcentral describes it as "bacterial SSU rRNA". It matches the Rfam family "Bacterial small subunit ribosomal RNA", at positions 836 to 1450 of the family's 1533-position model. The record is from RNAcentral.
AGUCUUAGUGGCGCAGCUAACGCACUAAGUAGACCGCCUGGGGAGUACGGCCGCAAGGUUAAAACUCAAAUGAAUUGACGGGGGCCCGCACAAGCGGUGGAGCAUGUGGUUUAAUUCGACGCAACGCGAAGAACCUUACCUGGCCUCGACAUGCAGAGAACUUUCCAGAGAUGGAUUGGUGCCUUCGGGAACUCUGACACAGGUGCUGCAUGGCCGUCGUCAGCUCGUGUCGUGAGAUGUUGGGUUAAGUCCCGUAACGAGCGCAACCCCUAUCCCUAGUUGCUAGCAGUUCGGCUGAGAACUCUAGGGAGACUGCCGGUGACAAACCGGAGGAAGGUGGGGAUGACGUCAGGUCAUCAUGGCCCUUACGGCCAGGGCUACACACGUGCUACAAUGGUGCGUACAGAGGGCUGCAAACCCGCGAGGGGGGGCUAAUCUCACAAAACGCAUCGUAGUCCGGAUCGGAGUCUGCAACUCGACUCCGUGAAGUCGGAAUCGCUAGUAAUCGCGAAUCAGAAUGUCGCGGUGAAUACGUUCCCGGGCCUUGUACACACCGCCCGUCACACCAUGGGAGUGGAUUGCACCAGAAGUGGUUAGUCUAACCUUCGGGAGGA